UUCAGCUGCAAAUUUGAACUU
Non-coding RNA from Caenorhabditis elegans, 21 nucleotides. Lineage: Eukaryota; Metazoa; Nematoda; Chromadorea; Rhabditida; Rhabditidae. The record is from Ensembl.